RNAcentral lists this ribosomal RNA (332 nucleotides) under uncultured Bacteroidota bacterium. RNAcentral describes it as "bacterial SSU rRNA". It matches the Rfam family "Bacterial small subunit ribosomal RNA", at positions 357 to 686 of the family's 1533-position model. Lineage: Bacteria; Pseudomonadati; Bacteroidota. The record is from RNAcentral.
AGGAAUAUUGGACAAUGGGCGGAAGCCUGAUCCAGCCAUGCCGCGUGCAGGAAGACGGCCCUAUGGGUUGUAAACUGCUUUUAUACGGGAAGAAUAAUCGCCACGUGUGGUGAGAUGACGGUACCGUAAGAAUAAGGACCGGCUAACUCCGUGCCAGCAGCCGCGGUAAUACGGAGGGUCCGAGCGUUAUCCGGAAUUAUUGGGUUUAAAGGGUCCGCAGGCGGGCAAUUAAGUCAGGGGUGAAAUGCUGUGGAUCAACCAUAGCACUGCCCUUGAUACUGGUUGUCUUGAGUUGUGGUGAAGUGGCCGGAAUAUGUAGUGUAGCGGUGAAA